This 663-nucleotide ribosomal RNA is filed under the name uncultured cyanobacterium. RNAcentral describes it as "bacterial SSU rRNA". It matches the Rfam family "Bacterial small subunit ribosomal RNA", at positions 99 to 795 of the family's 1533-position model. The record is from RNAcentral. Lineage: Bacteria; Bacillati; Cyanobacteriota.
CGGACGGGUGAGUAACGCGUGAGAAUCUGGCUUCAGGUCUGGGACAACCACUGGAAACGGUGGCUAAUACCGGAUGUGCCGAGAGGUGAAAGGUUAACUGCCUGAAGAUGAGCUCGCGUCUGAUUAGCUAGUUGGUAGAGUAAGAGCCUACCAAGGCGACGAUCAGUAGCUGGUCUGAGAGGACGAUCAGCCACACUGGGACUGAGACACGGCCCAGACUCCUACGGGAGGCAGCAGUGGGGAAUUUUCCGCAAUGGGCGAAAGCCUGACGGAGCAAUACCGCGUGAGGGAGGAAGGCUCUUGGGUCGUAAACCUCUUUUCUCAGGGAAGAACACAAUGACGGUACCUGAGGAAUAAGCAUCGGCUAACUCCGUGCCAGCAGCCGCGGUAAUACGGAGGAUGCAAGCGUUAUCCGGAAUGAUUGGGCGUAAAGCGUCCGCAGGUGGCAAUGUAAGUCUGCUGUUAAAGAGUCUAGCUCAACUAGAUAAGAGCAGUGGAAACUACAUAGCUAGAGUACGUUCGGGGCAGAGGGAAUUCCUGGUGUAGCGGUGAAAUGCGUAGAGAUCAGGAAGAACACCAGUGGCGAAGGCGCUCUGCUAGGCCGUAACUGACACUGAGGGACGAAAGCUAGGGGAGCGAAUGGGAUUAGAUACCCCAGUAGUC